GAACCCUUGGCGCAGCGGUAGCGCGUGAGAUUCCAGAGGUUGCUGUAUUCCAACGGCACUUCCGGGCGUCCUCAAGGUCAUCCGUUCAAAUCGGGUAGGGUUCA
Molecule: non-coding RNA, 104 nt
Organism: Trametes elegans
Lineage: Eukaryota; Fungi; Basidiomycota; Agaricomycetes; Polyporales; Polyporaceae
Source: the annotation of a GenBank genome assembly